RNAcentral lists this ribosomal RNA (253 nucleotides) under uncultured bacterium. Its description in RNAcentral is "partial 16S ribosomal RNA". It matches the Rfam family "Bacterial small subunit ribosomal RNA", at positions 524 to 776 of the family's 1533-position model. The record is from RNAcentral.
UACGAAGGGUGCAAGUGUUAGUCGGAAUUACUGGGCGUAAAGCGUGCGUAGGUGGUUUCUUAAGUCGGAUGUGAAAGCCCUGGGCUCAACCUGGGAAUGGCACUCGAUACUGGGAAGCUAGAGUGCGGUAGAGGAGGGUGGAAUUCCCGGUGUAGCGGUGAAAUGCGUAGAGAUCGGGAGGAACAUCAGUGGCGAAGGCGACCCUCUGGACCAGCACUGACGCUGAGGAGCGAAAGCGUGGGGAGCAAACAGG